GUGAAGUGUCUUGCCCAAGGACACAACGACCGAGACUGUCGGAGCCGGGGCUCGAACUGGCAACCUUCCGAUUACAACUCUUGAGCCACGAUCGCCCCUUAAUUUAGAAUUACACACUGCCCAAACCUGACUUUGCCUACAAUGCAGAGAAAAAAGCAAGCAGACCUAUUGCAUGCAUUGAUUCUCAUAUUUCACUGUUACUUUUCAAAGGCUCAAGGACCAAGUAUUCUGGGGAUCCAAGCCACAAGCUUUACUCAGCUGCCCUGAACAACAUGAAGGGCACCUCUGCCUCAAUCACCCUGGACAACAAAAACAUUAGCAACACUUCACCAAGAAGGGGCAAAGGCACCCAAAUACAAAAUGUUUUAGCUGGGAAGGUGAGAAGCAAGUGGACAAAUGAUGAAGUAAAGGUUGCUGCUAAGUACCAGGUAAAAAGGAAUGUGACUGCUGCUUCCAAGCAGAGCCGGCAGCUCGGAAAGGCAGAGACUGGGUUGCCAUAAAGUACUACAUCCACAACAGGAUCAUAGCAUUAAAAGAAAGAUGCAAGAAAAAAAGAAACAAGCAAGAGAGAUACUUUGUUGCUUCCACAGUUAUGUCAGUAUUGUAGUUUUCUGUAUUGCAUUGUUCUUACUCAUAAAUCUGUGGUUUAUGCUGGGUGCUUUUUGCAAUUAAAUGAUAAGAAAGGCAGAUAAUGUUCCACGUUUUUAUUCACAUGAACAUUCACUACAAAAUGAAUUAAUGCAUUACAAUAUUAAGACUUAAAAAGUAGACUGACCACAUUUGACCUAUGUCUUUUUUAAAGUCUCUACACAGCUCAUAUUUACUGUUUUAUUAACACAUAAAUGUCUGAUAUUUCUGUCAGAAGUUACAAGACUGGUGAGCAUUACUAUUGUGCAUCCAUGCCUGUUACAUUGUAAUCUCAAAAGGAGCCAAGCUAAAAAUACAGAACCUACCCUUACCUGGUCCUUAUAAGUCAUGUAUACUUGAAAAUUAUGUGUUUCCAUGGGCUUCACAAUUCACCUAAACAUGAAAUAUCAGUGUGUGACCUUAUGGUGCUCAUAAGUCACAUAAACCUGACAGUGUCCUCACAAGUAGCAUUAAAUUCAGGUUUGACCAAAAUUUCACCCUAGCCAAAAUCUCAACAGAUGGGCAUGUUCCUGGAAGCAUGGGUCAAGUUUUGUGUGAUUCCCAUGCCUCUAGGACCUUCAGAAAGGCACGUUCCCAUUUGUCACAUUUUUGUCAUAGGUCCUGAUAUUUCACGAAAACACGUAUGUGUGUGUGUGUGUGUGUGUGUGUGUGUGUAAAACAGAGAGCGAGAGGGGACAUUGACCUUGCUCUACUUACGUUUGGUUUUCUUGCAAUGGUGGUGAUCCAGGAAUUUAAGCCUCUUCUGCUAUUCUCUAAGUAGCUGUAAGUGGUUGUGCGUCAUUCUGCAGAAGUGUGCCAAGCUAAAUGCCUGGACUGCAAAUGCGAAUGUGGGUCCAGGUCCAUAGUGAAUAAAUCAGACUGCAAAGAGAAGACUGUAAGUUGUAUUGCUUUAGCCAUAGUAAUGACGUAACAAUGAAACUGACAAGUGAUAUAGUUGGGUUAGCUUUAAUGGCUCAUAACACCAUUGGAUAUUUCUAUUUCUCUAUUUUUUUUAAAAAAUAAUUACACCUAGAAGUUUCCACCAAUGGUUGCAUAGCUACAAAGCAUUUUUAAAAGGAUAUCACAGUGUAGUGUUUUGGUUAAUGUACUGCAGUUCUGCAAUAGUCA
Long non-coding RNA from Oreochromis niloticus (Nile tilapia), 1755 nucleotides. NCBI's taxonomy places the organism in Eukaryota, Metazoa, Chordata, Actinopteri, Cichliformes, Cichlidae. The record is from Ensembl.